CACGACGACAAAGAUGAGCAUGCGUCCCAUUAGCUAGUUGGUAAGGUAACGGCUUACCAAGGCUACGAUGGGUAGGGGUCCUGAGAGGGAGAUCCCCCACACUGGUACUGAGACACGGACCAGACUCCUACGGGAGGCAGCAGUGAGGAAUAUUGGACAAUGGGCGCAAGCCUGAUCCAGCCAUGCCGCGUGCAGGAUGACGGUCCUAUGGAUUGUAAACUGCUUUUAUACAGGAAGAAACACUCCGACGUGUCGGAGCUUGACGGUACUGUAAGAAUAAGGAUCGGCUAACUCCGUG
Molecule: ribosomal RNA, 298 nt
Filed under: uncultured bacterium
Lineage: Bacteria
Description: partial 16S ribosomal RNA
Rfam family: Bacterial small subunit ribosomal RNA
Source: RNAcentral